GCACUGGCUGCGGCAGCACAGACACUAAAAUUGGAGUGACACAGAGGAGUGAGCAGGGCCCUUGCGCAAGGAUGACAUGCAAAUUCGUGAAGCCUUCCAUAUUUUU
Small nuclear RNA from Chlorocebus sabaeus (green monkey), 106 nucleotides. The record is from Ensembl. NCBI's taxonomy places the organism in Eukaryota, Metazoa, Chordata, Mammalia, Primates, Cercopithecidae.